This 19-nucleotide non-coding RNA is filed under the name Mus musculus (house mouse). Lineage: Eukaryota; Metazoa; Chordata; Mammalia; Rodentia; Muridae. The record is from RNAcentral.
CUGAGAUGAGAGAUCCUUU